CGGCGGACGGGUGAGGAAUACAUCGGAAUCUACUCUGUCGUGGGGGAUAACGUAGGGAAACUUACGCUAAUACCGCAUACGACCUACGGGUGAAAGCAGGGACCUUCGGGCCUUGCGCGAUUGAAUGAGCCGAUGUCGGAUUAGCUAGUUGGCGGGGUAAAGGCCCACCAAGGCGACGAUCCGUAGCUGGUCUGAGAGGAUGAUCAGCCACACUGGAACUGAGACACGGUCCAGACUCCUACGGGAGGCAGCAGA
Molecule: ribosomal RNA, 255 nt
Filed under: uncultured Lysobacteraceae bacterium
Lineage: Bacteria; Pseudomonadati; Pseudomonadota; Gammaproteobacteria; Lysobacterales; Lysobacteraceae
Description: uncultured Xanthomonadaceae bacterium partial 16S ribosomal RNA
Rfam family: Bacterial small subunit ribosomal RNA
Source: RNAcentral